This 72-nucleotide transfer RNA is filed under the name Camelus bactrianus (Bactrian camel). It matches the Rfam family "tRNA". Rfam says of the family: Transfer RNA (tRNA) molecules are approximately 80 nucleotides in length. Lineage: Eukaryota; Metazoa; Chordata; Mammalia; Artiodactyla; Camelidae. RNAcentral also lists the same sequence under 2 other names. The record is from Rfam by way of RNAcentral.
GAGGGUAUAGCUCAGUGGUAUAGUGCAUGCUUAGCAUGCAUGAGGUUCUGGGUUCAAUCCCCAAUGCUGCCG